GUUUGAUCAUGGCUCAGGACGAACGCUUGCGGCGUGCCUAAGAAAUGCAAGUCGAGCGAGGUUAAGGGGCUUGCUCCUUAAUCUAGCGGCGAACGGUCGAGUAACACGUAGGCAACCUGCCCCAAAGCGGGGGAUAGCCCACCGAAAGGUGGAUUAAUACCGCAUGUGGUCACGAGAGGGCAUCCUCUUGUGACUAAAGCAGCAAUGCGCUUUGGGAUGGGCUUGCGGCCUAUCAGCUAGUUGGCGAGGUAACGGCCCACCAAGGCGACGACGGGUAGCUGGUCUGAGAGGAUGGUCAGCCGGACUGGGACUGAGAUACGGCCCAGACUCCUACGGGGGGGCAGCAAUUAGGAAUCUUGCGCAAUGGGGGAAACCCUGACGCAGCGACGCCGCGUGAAGGAUGAAGGCCUUCGGGUUGUAAACUUCUUUUAAGAGGGAAGAAGUAAGUGACGGUACCUCUUGAAUAAGCCCCGGCUAACUACGUGCCAGCAGCCGCGGUAAUACGUAGGGGGCGAGCGUUGUCCGAAGUUACUGGGCGUAAAGCGCGCGUAGGCGGGCUGUUAAGUUGGGUGUGAAAUCUCCGGGCUCAACCCGGAAACCGCACCCAAAACUGGUAGCCUUGAGGUAUGGAGAGGGAAGUGGAAUUCCUGGUGUAGCGGUGAAAUGCGUAGAUAUCAGGAGGAACACCCGUGGCGAAGGCGGCUUCCUGGUCAUAUCCUGACGCUGAGGCGCGAAAGCUAGGGGAGCGAACGGGAUUAGAUACCCCGGUAGUCCUAGCCGUAAACGAUGGAUACUAGGUGUUAGUGGUAUCGACCCCACUAGUGCCGCAGCUAACGCAAUAAGUAUCCCGCCUGGGGAGUACGGCCGCAAGGUUGAAAC
RNAcentral lists this ribosomal RNA (879 nucleotides) under uncultured bacterium. RNAcentral's name for it is "bacterial SSU rRNA". It matches the Rfam family "Bacterial small subunit ribosomal RNA", at positions 11 to 900 of the family's 1533-position model. The record is from RNAcentral.